AUGGAUGAAUUAUUGUUACAGUUUGAAUCUAAAGCACAUGAAUGUCUACACUCUUUGACGCAAGUUUGCACAUAUUGUGUAAACCCUGCUAAGAGUGAUGCACUAUGGACUAGCUUCAGAAUAUGGAUGAAUUCCCGCUCCCUGGAAUUAAAAGAGAUUUUUUUUAAGGAUGCUCAGAAAAACUUCCAUGGAAGACUUUUAGGAGUCAUACAACAUCUUCUGAUGUUAUGUCAAUCGUGUUUUCUCCCUGCUCCUGAAUCAGAACAAGUUUUCUCUUAG
Vicia faba (fava bean) is the source of this 279-nucleotide non-coding RNA. Lineage: Eukaryota; Viridiplantae; Streptophyta; Magnoliopsida; Fabales; Fabaceae. The record is from the annotation of a GenBank genome assembly.